AACUCUGACACAGGUGCUGCAUGGCUGUCGUCAGCUCGUGCGUGAGAUGUUGGGUUAAGUCCGUAACGAGCGCAACCCUUGUCCUUAGUUACCAGCACGUUAUGGUGGGCACUCUAAGGAGACUGCCGGUGACAAACCGGAGGAAGGUGGGGAUGACGUCAAGUCAUCAUGGCCCUUACGGCCUGGGCUACACACGUGCUACAAUGGUCGGUACAAAGGGUUGCCAAGCCGCGAGGUGGAGCUAAUCCCAUAAAACCGAUCGUAGUCCGGAUCGCAGUCUGCAACUCGACUGCGUGAAGUCGGAAUCGCUAGUAAUCGUGAAUCAGAAUGUCACGGUGAAUACGUUCCCGGGCCUU
Molecule: ribosomal RNA, 356 nt
Filed under: uncultured Pseudomonas sp.
Lineage: Bacteria; Pseudomonadati; Pseudomonadota; Gammaproteobacteria; Pseudomonadales; Pseudomonadaceae
Description: bacterial SSU rRNA
Rfam family: Bacterial small subunit ribosomal RNA
Source: RNAcentral